This is a long non-coding RNA of Columba livia (rock pigeon), 2116 nucleotides long. RefSeq lists it as uncharacterized. The record is from RefSeq and is a predicted model, not a curated record. The transcript is spliced from 3 exons. Lineage: Eukaryota; Metazoa; Chordata; Aves; Columbiformes; Columbidae.
AAAUGCUCACAGUACACAGCUCACAUCUGUGUUAGAGGUUACUCUUGAAGCGUCAGAAAGAGAAGGAGGAAAAGACGGCUUCUGUUAUGUGACAGAAUUCUUGCGAUGAUGAAAGGAAGAGCCGUGUGCAAUGACAGAGCCAAUAGGAAUGCAGUGGAAAUAUCUUCUUAACUAGGAACACAGAGGAUUGUGGCAACAUGCUGGAGGACAACUACUUAGGGAAUAAAUAAGCUAAUGAAGAAUUUUGCAAAGAACUCAACAGUUCAUUUUUUUCAUCCUCUGGAUUUUUUUAAUAUAAAAAUGUCAGAGAUGCAUACACAUAACAGCUUCAGACUAAGCUAGAUAUUUUUAUCUGGAAAGAAGAACAUUUUGUGGGUAAUGAAAGUAGUAAUUACAAUUAGCUGAGAUGCUGACAUCCAAUGAGGUAGAAUUAUUUCAUUUUACAUCCUUAGCAAAAAUGUACUUACUUGAUUCUUAGUCACAAAAUGUGAGUGUCAUGCUGAGAACUUAGUGUGAGAUUAAAUAUUGGCCACACUUUUGGAUUAGGGAGUGGGUGGUAGGAACAAAUGAGGAAAGUCUGAGAUAUCUAGGAGCAGGGAAGAAGGGGAAAAGACUUGAUACCAAUACUGAGAGGAUCACAUUAUUCUUCUCUUCUUCUAUACACACUGUCUGCUCCUGUCUGUGGUGUAAUACCAGGGCCAAACCUCUGUUUUCCAGCCUUUCUUCCUACAUAGGAAGCUGAGUAGCAGACAUAGGAAAUGCAGAAUUGGAAGAAUGGGCUGGCAGCAGACAAUCCAUCAUUUUACCCCUUCUCCCACCCACAGUAUAUCCAUUUAGAUACAGCUUAGAACUAUAUGAUUUUGUUACUACAGCUUCUUCCAUUUCAGCCUUAGUUACCAUUCACUUGUAUCCAGGCUGCCUGCAGUUCUGCACAUACAGGUGAUUUAUAACCCCAGGGUCUGUAAAACCUCAGGCUUAUCAGCCCCUGGUAAACCAGAAGUGAGCAGGAAGGGAACUGGGUACCUGACCUUCCAUUUUCUGUCCCCACUCAGGAGACAAACGUAAAGCUCAGCUUGAGACGCUAUACUAUUUAAUUAGUUUGUCAGUGGGGUGGGGUUCUGAAUAUUGUGAUACAGAUUGAUACCUAGUAUUGACCUAGGAUAUAACCUGUGAAACAUUACUAAGUCAUAUUAAAACAUACAGUCUAUCCUAAGUGUUACUUCCUCUGUAGUGUAGCUUUGAGGAAUUAGCCAUGAAAUUUAAAUUUCAUUUUGUUUUAACAAAUAACUGGUCUUGAUUACAGGUUAUUACCUUUCAUAAAGACUUUCAAUAUAAUUAUCAUGGAAAUAAGAGGUAACUGCAAAUUUGAAAGCCACGUGCUACAAAUUCAUGUUCAUAAAAGUAGUUUUUUUAUGGACUGUCCUUCAAUGGCAAUAUUCACCUCAUUAAGAGACACAGCAUGAGUAUGGGAGCUGAAUACUGCUGUGAACAAUAUUGAGUAGAAUACUUAGUCUUAAAUACAAUGCAGAUGAUGCCUUGGUACAACACAAAUGAAUACUCUUUAGAAACACAUCACUGAGCUUGAAGACACCUUGAGUGAAUAACAGAAAAUGCAGCUGACAGAGGAUGGAAGGAGGGAGAAAUGCCUAAUUCUUGCCAUUAUUAAGGGAAAUGAUCUGCAGUCUCUUCUUUUGGCUGUAGCCUUUAAAUGUGUGAACCUGCUGGUACAAUUUUAUAUUCUGACCCACUUUCUCAUAGAUGUUUAGCCUAGAACUAGGUGCAACCAAUUUUAGAUUGUCUCACACGGCUUUCUUCAAUAGCUCCUAAUGGUUACCUAGCCAUAAUUUCUUGUGGUAGCUACUGUGAAUUCUUAUUUCAGGUGUCUAACUCUCCAUUCAACAGACAGAAGAUGCAGACACUUGGCAAUGGCUAAUUCCAGGACUACAGGGAUAUAGUAAAUUUUCAGCAUUGUAAUAUUGAGUGUUAAUAGUCUGAGAAUCCUCUUUAGAUCACUGAGAUUUGAAUGUCUUAUAUAACUUUAUGAUAUUAAAGUCUUAUUCUACUGUGGAUAUAAUUAAUAGUGAAAAUCCAUCUUUUUCAGUCCUGAAAAUCACAA